This 465-nucleotide ribosomal RNA is filed under the name uncultured bacterium. RNAcentral's name for it is "partial 16S ribosomal RNA". It matches the Rfam family "Bacterial small subunit ribosomal RNA", at positions 338 to 795 of the family's 1533-position model. The record is from RNAcentral.
CCUACGGGAGGCAGCAGUAGGGAAUUUUCCACAAUGGGCGAAAGCCUGAUGGAGCAACGCCGCGUGGGUGAAGAAGGUCUUCGGAUCGUAAAACCCUGUUGUUAGAGAAGAAAGUGCGUGAGAGUAACUGUUCACGUUUCGACGGUAUCUAACCAGAAAGCCACGGCUAACUACGUGCCAGCAGUCGCGGUAAUACGUAGGUGGCAAGCGUUAUCCGGAUUUAUUGGGCGUAAAGGGAACGCAGGCGGUCUUUUAAGUCUGAUGGGAAAGCCUUCGGCUUAACCGGAGUAGUGCAUUGGAAACUGGGAGACUUGAGUGCAGAAGAGGAGAGUGGAACUCCAUGUGUAGCGGUGAAAUGCGUAGAUAUAUGGAAGAACACCAGUGGCGAAAGCGGCUCUCUGGUCUGUAACUGACGCUGAGGUUCGAAAGCGUGGGUAGCAAACAGGAUUAGAUACCCGAGUAGUC